GAAAUGCGAUAAGUAAUGUGAAUUGCAGAAUUCAGUGAAUCAUCGAAUCUUUGAACGCACCUUGCGCCCGCCAGUAUUCUGGCGGGCAUGCCUGUCCGAGCGUCAUUUCAACCAUCAAGCCCCCGGGCUUGUGUUGGGGACCUGCGGCUGCCCGCAGGCCCUGAAAACCAGUGGCGGGCUCGCUGUCACACCGAGCGUAGUAGCAAUCACCUCGCUCAGGGCGUGCUGCGGGUUCCGGCCGUUAAACAGCCUUACAAAACCCAAGGUUGACCUCGGAUCAGGUAGGAAGACCCGCUGAACUUAAGC
Molecule: unclassified non-coding RNA, 306 nt
Filed under: plant metagenome
Description: partial contains 5.8S ribosomal RNA, internal transcribed spacer 2, and large subunit ribosomal RNA
Rfam family: 5.8S ribosomal RNA (bases 1-105)
Source: RNAcentral